GGGCGGUUAGCUCAGCGGUAGAGCAUCUGCCUUACACGCAGAGGGUCACAGGUUCGAAACCUGUACCGCCCA
RNAcentral lists this transfer RNA (72 nucleotides) under Dethiosulfovibrio salsuginis. RNAcentral describes it as "tRNA_Val_TAC". It matches the Rfam family "tRNA". Rfam says of the family: Transfer RNA (tRNA) molecules are approximately 80 nucleotides in length. Their secondary structure includes four short double-helical elements and three loops (D, anti-codon, and T loops). Lineage: Bacteria; Thermotogati; Synergistota; Synergistia; Synergistales; Dethiosulfovibrionaceae. The record is from RNAcentral.